Molecule: ribosomal RNA, 233 nt
Filed under: uncultured bacterium
Lineage: Bacteria
Description: partial 16S ribosomal RNA
Rfam family: Bacterial small subunit ribosomal RNA
Source: RNAcentral
UGAGGAACAUGACCUUCGGCGGGGGAUAGCCGGCCCAACGGCCGGGUAAUACCGCGUACGACCACAUGGGGACAUCCCUGAGUGGUGAAAGCAGCAAUGCGCCGAUGGAGUGCCUCGCGGCCUAUCAGCUAGUUGGUGAGGUAACGGCUCACCAAGGCAACGACGGGUAGCUGGUCUGAGAGGAUGGCCAGCCACAUUGGGACUGAGACACGGCCCAGACCUCUACGGGACGG